UACGUAGGGUGCAAGCGUUGUCCGGAAUUACUGGGCGUAAAGCGUGCGUAGGUGGUUCGUUAAGUCUGAUGUGAAAGCCCUGGGCUCAACCUGGGAAUGGCAUUGGAUACUGGCGACCUAGAGUGCGGUAGAGGGGUGUGGAAUUCCCGGUGUAGCAGUGAAAUGCGUAGAUAUCGGGAGGAACAUCUGUGGCGAAGGCGACACCCUGGACCAGCACUGACACUGAGGCACGAAAGCGUGGGGAGCAAACAGG
This 253-nucleotide ribosomal RNA is filed under the name uncultured bacterium. Its description in RNAcentral is "partial 16S ribosomal RNA". It matches the Rfam family "Bacterial small subunit ribosomal RNA", at positions 524 to 776 of the family's 1533-position model. The record is from RNAcentral.